GGAUGAACGCUGGCGGCGUGCCUAAUCCAUGCAAGUCGAGCGAACGGACGAGAAGCUUGCUUCUCUGAUGUUAGCGGCGGACGGGUGAGUAACACGUGGAUAACCUACCUAUAAGACUGGGAUAACUUCGGGAAACCGGAGCUAAUACCGGAUGAUAUUUUGAACCGCAUGGUUCAAAAGUGAAAGACGGUCUUGCUGUCACUUAUAGAUGGAUCCGCGCUGCAUUAGCUAGUUGGUAAGGUAACGGCUUACCAAGGCAACGAUGCAUAGCCGACCUGAGAGGGUGAUCGGCCACACUGGAACUGAGACACGGUCCAGACUCCUACGGGAGGCAGCAGUAGGGAAUCUUCCGCAAUGGGCGAAAGCCUGACGGAGCAACGCCGCGUGAGUGAUGAAGGUCUUCGGAUCGUAAAACUCUGUUAUUAGGGAAGAACAUAUGUGUAAGUAACUGUGCACAUCUUGACGGUACCUAAUCAGAAAGCCACGGCUAACUACGUG
Molecule: ribosomal RNA, 498 nt
Filed under: uncultured bacterium
Lineage: Bacteria
Description: partial 16S ribosomal RNA
Rfam family: Bacterial small subunit ribosomal RNA
Source: RNAcentral